GAUGAACGCUGGCGGCGUGCCUAAUACAUGCAAGUCGAGCGAACAGACGAGGAGCUUGCUCCUCUGACGUUAGCGGCGGACGGGUGAGUAACACGUGGAUAACCUACCUAUAAGACUGGGAUAACUUCGGGAAACCGGAGCUAAUACCGGAUAAUAUAUUGAACCGCAUGGUUCAAUAGUGAAAGACGGUUUUGCUGUCACUUAUAGAUGGAUCCGCGCCGCAUUAGCUAGUUGGUAAGGUAACGGCUUACCAAGGCAACGAUGCGUAGCCGACCUGAGAGGGUGAUCGGCCACACUGGAACUGAGACACGGUCCAGACUCCUACGGGAGGCAGCAGUAGGGAAUCUUCCGCAAAGGGCGAAAGCUUGACGGAGCAACGCCGAGUGAGUGAUGAAGGUCUUCGGAUCGUAAAACUCUGUUAUUAGGGAAGAACAAAUGUGUAAGUAACUAUGCACGUCUUGACGGUACCUAAUCAGAAAGCCACGGCUAACUACGUG
RNAcentral lists this ribosomal RNA (497 nucleotides) under uncultured bacterium. Its description in RNAcentral is "partial 16S ribosomal RNA". It matches the Rfam family "Bacterial small subunit ribosomal RNA", at positions 28 to 507 of the family's 1533-position model. The record is from RNAcentral.